CAGUCGCCGCGGUAAUACGUAGGGUGCAAGCGUUAAUCGGAAUUACUGGGCGUAAAGCGUGCGCAGGCGGUCCGCUAAGACAGAUGUGAAAUCCCCGGGCUUAACCUGGGAACUGCAUUUGUGACUGGCGGGCUAGAGUAUGGCAGAGGGGGAUGGAAUUCCGCGUGUAGCAGUGAAAUGCGUAGAUACGCGGAGGAACACCGAUGGCGAAGGCAAUCCCCUGGACCUGUACUGACGCUCAUGCACGAAAGCGUGGGGAGCAAACAGGAUUAGAUACCCGCGUAGUCCCUGUCUCUUAUAC
Molecule: ribosomal RNA, 301 nt
Filed under: uncultured bacterium
Lineage: Bacteria
Description: partial 16S ribosomal RNA
Rfam family: Bacterial small subunit ribosomal RNA
Source: RNAcentral